RNAcentral lists this RNase P RNA (389 nucleotides) under Vasconcelosia minhoensis LEGE 07310. Its description in RNAcentral is "Romeria aff. gracilis LEGE 07310 RNase P RNA component class A". It matches the Rfam family "Bacterial RNase P class A". Rfam says of the family: Ribonuclease P (RNase P) is a ubiquitous endoribonuclease, found in archaea, bacteria and eukarya as well as chloroplasts and mitochondria. Its best characterised activity is the generation of mature 5'-ends of tRNAs by cleaving the 5'-leader elements of precursor-tRNAs. Cellular RNase Ps are ribonucleoproteins. Lineage: Bacteria; Bacillati; Cyanobacteriota; Cyanophyceae; Nodosilineales; Cymatolegaceae. The record is from RNAcentral.
AAGAGUUGGCGCAGCGGUUGCGGGCCAGGUUACCCUGGCCUGAGGAAAGUCCGGGCUCCCUAAAGACCAGACCUGCUGGGUAACGCCCAGUGCGGGUGACCGUGAGGAGAGUGCCACAGAAACAUACCGCCGAUGGCUGCGGGGCGCGAUCGCGUCGCCGCUGCACAGGUAAGGGUGCAAGGGUGCGGUAAGAGCGCACCAGCAGCAUCGAGAGGUGCUGGCUCGGUAAACCCCGGUUGGGUGCAAGGCCAUAGGGGCUAUGGUUGGUCUUUUACCAGCCCCGAUUAAGCGCGCCGCUAGAGGCGUCUGGUAACAGGCGUCCCAGAUAGAUAACCGCCUCGCUGCUAGGUCAGUGAGAACAGAACCCGGCUUAUGUCCAGCUCUUUCCG